RNAcentral lists this ribosomal RNA (440 nucleotides) under uncultured bacterium. RNAcentral's name for it is "partial 16S ribosomal RNA". It matches the Rfam family "Bacterial small subunit ribosomal RNA", at positions 338 to 795 of the family's 1533-position model. The record is from RNAcentral.
CCUACGGGGGGCAGCAGUGGGGGAUAUUGCACAAUGGGGGAAACCCUGAUGCAGCGACGCCGCGUGUGGGAAGACGGUCCUCUGGAUUGUAAACCACUGUCCCCAGGGACGAAGAUGACGGUACCUGGGGAGGAAGCUCUGGCUAACUACGUGCCAGCAGCUGCGGCAAUACGUAGGGAGCAAGCGUUGUCCGGAAUUAGUGGGUGUAAAGGGAGCGUAGGCGGGAUGGCAAGUUGGGUGUUAAAUCUACCGGCUCAACUGGUAGUCGCACUCAAAACUGCUAUUCUUGAGUGAAGUAGAGGCAGGCGGAAUGCCUGGUGUAGCGGUGAAAUGCGUAGAUAUUAGGAAGAACACCAGUGGCGAAGGCAGCCUGCUGGGCUUUUACUGACGCUGAGGCUCGAAAGUGUGGGGAGCAAACAGGAUUAGAUACCCUUGUAGUC